AACUUUUAGCAACGGAUCUCUUGGUUUUGGCUUCGAUGAAGAACGCAGCGAAAUGCGAUAAGUAAUGUGAAUUGCAGAAUCAGUGAAUCAUCGAAUUUUUGAACGCAUAUUGCACUCCUUGGCAUUCCUUGGAGUACACUUGUUCGAGCGCCGGUUGCGUCGUAAGGCCCAGCCUUGUGUUGAGGUUUCCUUGAUCAGGAAUCCUCCAAACCCAUGGGCGUCGUCGUACCCGAACCGCAACACAAUGCGACACUCGGGAGCGCGGCGACCGCCGAAAACCGUCAUGCAUGGCCUCGAAUCAAGUGGGGAUACCCGCUAAACUUAAGCAUAUCAAUAAGCGGAGGC
RNAcentral lists this unclassified non-coding RNA (345 nucleotides) under uncultured Ascomycota. Its description in RNAcentral is "sequence contains ITS2". The stretch from base 1 to 153 matches the Rfam family "5.8S ribosomal RNA". Lineage: Eukaryota; Fungi; Ascomycota. The record is from RNAcentral.